UUAAUUGAAACCAAAAAGAGGUAUAUCAUUGUUAAUGAUAAAAAUGUAUUUUAUACCAAUUAAG
Molecule: transfer RNA, 64 nt
Filed under: Sininocellia gigantos
Lineage: Eukaryota; Metazoa; Arthropoda; Insecta; Raphidioptera; Inocelliidae
Description: tRNA-Asn
Source: RNAcentral